CGCCGAUUAUGCCUAAAACGCUGGUAUCUUGAAGUACUGGGGUUUAUGCACCUAUCCAAUACCAUGUAAUAAAGCCCCAAAGAAAAUCUAUGCUAAAGUAGUUUAUUUAUGUUCUUUUUCUGUUAUAACUGACUGCCA
Molecule: long non-coding RNA, 138 nt
Organism: Etheostoma cragini (Arkansas darter)
Lineage: Eukaryota; Metazoa; Chordata; Actinopteri; Perciformes; Percidae
Exons: 5
Source: RefSeq, a predicted model, not a curated record